This is a non-coding RNA of Callithrix jacchus (white-tufted-ear marmoset), 4877 nucleotides long. The record is from RefSeq and is a predicted model, not a curated record. Lineage: Eukaryota; Metazoa; Chordata; Mammalia; Primates; Cebidae.
UUCUUACUUAAAAGAAGAAAAAUAAGGGACAAAAGCUUAUUUAUAACUGCUUUAUCAAUGAAUGAUAUUGCUAGAAUAAUAGCAAGGGCUUCCAAGGCAAUACACUCUUCAAAAGGCAAUCAUUAUACAGCAUACAUUUCAGAAUGUUAUCAGUUUAAAAUUAUAAAUACAAUGUAAUUUUUAUGUCCAAGGGAGUUACACAAAAUAAUGGGGUAGAGACCUGAGGGGGAGAGCAUUAAAACAGAUGGAAGUAAAGGCAGAGAUUUUCUAAGUGUCACAUGAAAACAGUUUAUUGUUUGACCUUGCACAAUUAAUUCUGUAAUCCAUCUAGGAUCUAUUUUUGUUCAUGGUGUGAGGUAGGGGUGUCAAGAUACUUUUUUACUCCAAUGCAUAAUCCAUUGGCUCAGCAUUAUUAUUUAAAUUAACAUGUUUGCCCCACUACACUGACACAAAUAUGUCAAAAAUCAGAUGACCAUGUAUUUUUGGUUCUUUAUUGGAGAGUUCUGUUGGUCACUUUGUUGUCCGUGAAUCAUAGCAGUUUUAAAAAAUCAUUAAUUUUAUCUGCUUUGUCACUCUUUUGUUUCAGUGGGGGAAAAAAACUGAGAAAAUUGUCCCAUACUUCUUAAAUAUUGCUAUUCAUGGAUUGCAGAUGGCAGAGCAUAAACUGAGCUCUUUUUUGGGGGGGGCGGGGAGGGUUGAAAAUGGUUUGUUUCAACUGUUUGUGAACUUCUCAAAGAAUUUUUUUAAGGUACAAUUUUUUUCUAUUAAAUGCCAUUAAGAAAAGAUUUGAGAUUCUAACUACAUUUCUAUCAUUCUAAGCAGUAAUAUUUUUUAGCUAAAAAGACAAAGAUUAUAGCUCAUAGCUUUUGAUAGCUGCUGUCUCCUGGGUUCUGAAAGGGCAAUCUGGUGGAUGAAUUGUGUAGCAGGAGUAGUAUAAACAAAAUUUAGGGAAAACAAGGAGUAAAGAUUAUUUUUUUUAUUUUGGAGCUGUUCACCUGUCCUAUUUGUGUCUUUCUGCUACUUAUAAAUAGGUUAAAACUGCUCACAGUCAUAAAAACACUUGGAUAAAACCUAAUAGUGAAAAUCUGUUUAGAAAUGAAACUGUGGUAGAAGUAGUAUCUCCAUGAGAAUAAUUUUUUAUUUAUUCUAGAAUUUACUUCGCUAUUCCUUUCAUAUUGAAAUUUCUAAAUACUUUUUAGAAAUCAAAGUAUUUAGAGUAAUUAAAGUAUUUAUGUUUUUAUGCAUAACAAAAGCUGUAACUUUUCAGGACUUGACUUUGAAGCACUGCUGUACAAUUCCUGUAUCGAUCUCCCUUCCAAACUGUCUUUCUCUCAAGUUUAUUUUCCAUAAGCCCAUAUUACACAGUUUUUUUUCAGCUAGGUGUACUCUGAAUAAUAUUUCACUGUUUCAGGUUCUGAGGUCACCAGCACUCCCUCACAUUCUCACAGACACCAGGUGACUGCAAAAUUGUCCUUCAAAACUGCAGCAUCAUUCACUACCCCCAGGGCAAAGCUUAUGCAUAUGUUAUUCUCUGGAGAUAGGAAGUGGAAAAUGUACACUUUUCCCUCUAGCUUUCUCAGCAGAAAAGCCAUCUAGAGAUAGUACCAUUAUUCAUUCCAGAGACACGCAUAAAGUCUAACACCCAAUUGUACUGUUUGAUUUACCAUUUCAAGUUUCAUUGACAGGUUAUAGAAGGUAAGGAUUUGAAGGCAGAAUAAAGUGCUGCCCUUGUUUUCCAAGAAGCUCCUGGAAUAUUCCGAGAAAUCAUUUAAAAGAAUAUUAAAUUUAAAGGGACACAGAUUUUUUAACAAACCAACAUCCACUUUUACUGACGUAACACGGGGCCCAUGACUUGCGCAUGCUCAGAUACAUCAAGUGGGGCAGGACAGGACCUCAAAUAACGCUGUGUCACUGACAUUGGAAUUCGAUCAUUGAAAGAAUUGCAUCCACUCCCCGGGCUCUCAAAACAAAUUAAGCGCCACCCGUGCAUGGCCUCUGAAAACGGUCUCCCUAUUCCCUGAGAUGCAACAAUAUUGAAAUUAGGCCAAUUAAUAACCCAACAGUGGCCCCUAAGUGUUCAAGUAAAUGGAACACUCACACAUCUCUCACACAAUUUAAAUCAAAAGCUGGAAAUUAUUCAACUUAGUGAGAAAGACAUGUCAACAGACAAGACAGGUCCAAAGCAAAGCCCCUUCUACUGAAGAGUUCACCAAGUUGUGAAGGCAAAGGAAAAGUUAUUGAAGGAAAUUAAAAGUACUACUACAGUGAACAAAUGAAGGGUAAGAAAGUGAAACAGCUUUAUUGCUGAUAUGGAGAAGCUUUUAGUGGUCUGGAUGGAAGAUUAAUUCAUAGCAAAGUGCUAACUCUCUUCAGUUCUAUGAAGGCUGAGAGAGGUGAGGAAACUUCAGAAGAAAAGUUGGCAGCUAGCAGAGGUUUGUUUAUGAAGUUUAAGGAAAAAGCCCUCUUCAUAACAUAAAAGUGCAAGUUGAAGCAGCAAGUGGUGAUGGAGAAGCUGCAGCAAGUUACCCAGAAGAUCUAGCUAAGAGAAUUGAUGAAGGCAGCUGAACUAAACAGCAGACUUUGAAUGCAGAAAAAACAGCCUUCUACUGGAAGAAGACGCCAUGCAGGACUUUCAUAUUAAAGGGCAACAAAUCAAUGCCUGGCUUCCAAACUGCAAAAGACAGGCUGACUCACUAAUUAGGGACUAAUGCAACUGGUGACUUUAAGUUGAAUCCAAUACUUAUUUACAAAUUUGAAAAUCCUGGGGCCCUUAAGAAUUUUGCUAAAUCUACCCUGCCUGUGCUCUCUAAAUGGAACAACAAAGCCUGAAUGACAGCACAUCUGUUUACAGCAUGAUUUACUAAAUUUUAAUCCUACCGUGGACACCUGCUACUCAGAAGAAAAGAGUUCUUUCAAACUAUUAUUCUUAUUUCACAAUGUACCUGGUAACUCAAGAGCUCUGAUGGAGAUGUACAAGGAAAUUAAUGUUGUUUUCAUACUUUCUGGCACAGCAUUCUGCAGCCCACAAAUCAAGGAGUAAAUUUGAUUUUCAAGUCUUAUUAUUAAAGAAAUAUAUUUUGUAAGACUAUGGCUGCCAUAUAUAGGGAUUCCUCUGGUGGAUCUUGGUAAAGCAAAUUGAAAACCUUGUGGAAAUGAUUCACCAUUCCAGAUGUCAUUAAGAACAUUUGUGAUUUGGGCUGUGGGCAGUGGCUAAUGCCUAUAAUCACUGCACUUUGGGAGGCCAAGGCAGGAGGAUCACCUAAGGUCAGGAGUUCAAGACCAGCCUGGCCAACAUGGUGAAACCCCAUCUCUACUAAAAUCACAAAAAUUAGCCAAGCGUGGUGGCAGGAGCCUAUAAUCCCAGCUACUAGGAGGCCCUGAGGCAGGAGAAUUGCUUGAACCCAGGAGGCAGAGGUUGCAGUGAGCCAAGAUCACGACAUUGCACUCCAGCCUGGGCAACAAGAGCAAAACUCCAUCUUAAAGAAAGAAAGAGAGAACAUUUCUGAUUUGUGGAGGAGAUCAAGCUGUCAACAUGAACAGGAGUUUGGAAGUCAACCCUAACAGAUGACUUUGAGUGGUUUAAGACUUCAAUGGAGGAAGUAACUGCAGAUGUGGUGGUAGUAGCAAGGUAAUUCAGAUUAGAAGUGGAACCCGAAGAUGUGUCUGAAUUGCUGCAAUCUUAUGAUAAAAUUUGAAUGAAUAAGGAGUUGCUUCUUAUGAAUGAGCAAAUAAAGUGGUUUCUUGAGAUAGACUCUACUUCCUGGUGAAGAUGCUGUGAACAUUAUGGAAAUAACAACAAAGGAUUUGGAAUAUUACAUCAAUUCAGGGAAAGGAAUACCAUGGUGGAACUGCAAGAUGGCAUUAAAGUUCCUGCUUGGCAGUGCCACAAGUCACUUGGGCUUAUUUUGGACUGGCCAAAGCAAGUCAUGAGAAGCAGUAAAAUAUUGGCUGUUUCCUUUCCUCAGAAAUGGUUUAUGGAAGAUCAUAAAUAUAAAAAUAAUAGCUAAAAUUUAUUGGAAUACCAUUUACAUGCCAGGGCUUUACUAAGCAUUUACAGAUGGGAACACUUAAUUCUCACAGCAUCCCUGAGGCAUUGGCACCUCUCAUCACUUCCUCCCUUUAUAUCCUUCAAAUGUAUGAAGUGUUGCAUUGCAAAGGACUUUGCCCUCUGCUGAGACAUUUUCCCAGAUAAUCAGCAGCAAAAUCUUCAAAAAUUUGGCCUCCAUUUUGUGGAAGCAGCUAUCCAUAUGCCAUAUUCUACUGAGGAUGGAGUCUUCUUUGCCAGCAGGGAGGUCACUAUGAACAAACAAAAUCUGAUUGAGAGACUAUGCCGAGCAAGGUGAUAAGUAGGUUGUUUAUAUUUCUUUCUCAAUAUCAAAAUAAUAUACUUUAUCUCGAAUCUUUCUGUUAUUUUGAGUCACAUGAAACCAUUGAUGGAUACUCGGGUAAUCAGAGUUUCAGAAAAAGCCCCAGUGGCCCUAAGACUCCUAUUCACUGCCUUUAUGGCCCAUUGGACUGAUCAGAGGAGGACGAGAAGAGGGCACAACUUAGAAGCUAUGACUUGGGGCCUCCUAAGCUGGGUCUGUGAGUAGGACAUGAUGUUGGGCAUCCAGAAAAAUAGUCUAGUCCUAUCCCCUGCCUGAGUUCAUGAUGCUUAAACUUCAAGUUAUGUUUUUUGGUUUUUUUCUUUUUUGGUUUAUACUGUGAAAGAUUUUUAACACAAUUUGUGAUUAAGACUUUUGCUCUCAAGUGUCAAAUAGUUUAUGCACCACAGGGAAUGUCUGCCAAUCAAAUAGUUUCAAUGGAACAUUUUUAAAAAAUUCAGUGUCUGUAAUCACCUCUAAUUAUGAUUUUCUGCACAGUCUACUCUGGAAAGA